Molecule: small nucleolar RNA, 128 nt
Organism: Periophthalmus magnuspinnatus
Lineage: Eukaryota; Metazoa; Chordata; Actinopteri; Gobiiformes; Gobiidae
Product: small nucleolar RNA SNORA17
Exons: 1
Source: RefSeq, a predicted model, not a curated record
AGUGCUCCUUGAGGCGUUGCAGCCCCCCUUUGUGGUGGUGCUGUGUCAUUAGGAGCAUAGAGAGAAGGUGGAGGUCUGCACUGGGACUCUGUCUGAAGAGAUCUCAGAGUGAAAUCGACACCGACAAA